This 424-nucleotide ribosomal RNA is filed under the name uncultured bacterium. RNAcentral describes it as "bacterial SSU rRNA". It matches the Rfam family "Bacterial small subunit ribosomal RNA", at positions 355 to 776 of the family's 1533-position model. The record is from RNAcentral.
UGAGGAAUAUUGGUCAAUGGACGAGAGUCUGAACCAGCCAAGUAGCGUGCAGGAUGACGGCCCUCCGGGUUGUAAACUGCUUUUAGUUGGGAAUAAAGUUCGGGACGUGUCCCGAUUUGUAUGUACCAUCAGAAAAAGGACCGGCUAAUUCCGUGCCAGCAGCCGCGGUAAUACGGAAGGUCCGGGCGUUAUCCGGAUUUAUUGGGUUUAAAGGGAGCGCAGGCGGGCUUUUAAGUCAGUUGUGAAAUACGGCGGCUCAACCGUCGGACUGCAGUUGAAACUGGAAGUCUUGAGUUCACACAGGGAUGCCGGAAUUCAUGGUGUAGCGGUGAAAUGCUCAGAUAUCAUGAAGAACUCCGAUCGCGAAGGCAGGCAUCCGGGGUGUUACUGACGCUGAGGCUCGAAAGUGCGGGUAUCAAACAGG